GGUUUGUAGCUCAGUGGUAGAGCACUUGCCUAGACUGUGUGAGGCACUGGAUUCGAUCCUCAGCACCA
This 68-nucleotide transfer RNA is filed under the name Marmota monax (woodchuck). Its description in RNAcentral is "tRNA.Ser". The record is from RNAcentral. Lineage: Eukaryota; Metazoa; Chordata; Mammalia; Rodentia; Sciuridae.